Molecule: transfer RNA, 73 nt
Filed under: Pollicipes pollicipes
Lineage: Eukaryota; Metazoa; Arthropoda; Thecostraca; Pollicipedomorpha; Pollicipedidae
Description: tRNA-His
Rfam family: tRNA
About the family: Transfer RNA (tRNA) molecules are approximately 80 nucleotides in length. Their secondary structure includes four short double-helical elements and three loops (D, anti-codon, and T loops).
Source: RNAcentral
GCCGUGAUAGUCUAGUGGUUAGGACCCUGCGUUGUGGUCCGCAGUAACCCCGGUUCGAAUCCGGGUCACGGCA